GAUGAAGAACGCAGCGAAAUGCAAUACGUAAUGUGAAUUGCAGAAUUCAGUGAAUCAUCGAAUCUUUGAACGCACAUUGCGCCUGCCAGCACUCUGGCAGGCAUGCCUGUUCGAGCGUCAUUUCAACCAUCAAGCCCUAGGCUUGCGUUGGAGCCCUGCGGCUGCCGCAGGCCCCUAAAAGCAGUGGCGGGCUCGCUAUCACACCGAGUGCAGUAGAUUACUCUUCGCUCAGGGCGUGUGGCGGGUUCCAGCCGUGAAACCCCCUACUUCUCAAGGUUGACCUCGGAUCAGGUAGGAAUACCCGCUGAACUUAAGCAUAUCAAUAAGCGGAGGA
RNAcentral lists this unclassified non-coding RNA (334 nucleotides) under soil metagenome. Its description in RNAcentral is "partial contains 5.8S ribosomal RNA, internal transcribed spacer 2, and large subunit ribosomal RNA". The stretch from base 1 to 120 matches the Rfam family "5.8S ribosomal RNA", at positions 35 to 154 of the family's 154-position model. The record is from RNAcentral.